Molecule: long non-coding RNA, 2223 nt
Organism: Vespa velutina
Lineage: Eukaryota; Metazoa; Arthropoda; Insecta; Hymenoptera; Vespidae
Exons: 4
Source: RefSeq, a predicted model, not a curated record
AUAUUCUUAUAUAUAUUUAUAUACACUACAUUACUACAUACUACAUAGAAUUACUCACAUUUUUCUGAUCAAAUUUAAUGAAGACAUAAAAAAGCUAUCGAUUUCUAUAUGUUACUUUUAAGCUUGCGCCUUUUGAACGAAUUCCAAAAAUUUUUGAGAGCUCUUAUUGGUUGAUACAAUUGACGAAAAAGAAAAAAUGAUAGAAAGAAAUAGAGAGAAAGCGAAAAAACGAAAGAGAGAGAGAGAGAGAGAGAGAGAGAGAGAAAGAGAGAGAGAGAGAGAAAGAUUUACUACAAGCGAGGUCGAAUGUCACGCGACAGGAGAGGACAAAGCAACGAUAUAUGUAUAUAUACAUGUUGUAUGUAUUUUUAGAAGAGACACGAAGCUACGUGAGUGAGAUAGAGAGAGAGACAUAUUCAGAAUUUUUCUUGGCUGCUUAGAUGAUCGUUAAUGUAACGACAGGACAUGUGAUUAGAAAGUAUACGUAAUGUUCUCUCUAUACACCUACCUAUGUUUGUACAUAGAUACAUGUAUGUUAAGUACUCAUCCAUAAUACAUAUAACUAUAACGAUAGUUUUUUUUUUUUUCUAUUUUAAAGAGGCCAAAUGAUAAACCGCGACAAAUAACAUUGAAAUGUAUUUUCUACGCUUGUUUGUCCAACCGAAACACGUUUAUCGAUUUUUUACAUUCGACGAAGCGUUUAGCCGGAACAUUGAAACAUCUUGUAAUGUGUUGUCUUGUCAUUUAUAUUAACCAUUGAUAAUUUAAAAAGAAUUUAGAAUAGAAUUUAGAAAAUUUCUAUAUCUCGUUCUGAAACUGUCAUAGAAAAUUUUUUUUGUUCUCUUUCUCUCUAUCUCUCUCUCUCUCUCUCUCUCUCUCUCUCUUUUUUCGGAGCUGAUUAGAAUUAGAAUGAAAUUAUUAAAAAGGUAUAUGAACAUAGAUUUUAAUGGAUUAUUCUGUAAUAUAAUAAAAAUAAAAUAAAAAGUAGAAUAAAAUGGAAUACUUUUUUGAUACUAAAUAAUUAACGUUAAAUGAUUAACGUUAAGCAAAUAAUUUUAUAGUUUACAAUAAAUUAAAAUAGUUCAAAUAACAAUAAUUUUAUAUUUUAUAAUGAAUCAAGAGAAAAACAAAAAAAAAAAACAAAAAAAAAAAGAAAUUUCUUUUCAUAUAUUGAUCGAAAAAAUUCUACUAAUAGUGAUAUGAAAAAUGUUGUAUCGACCUUUUUUUUAUCUUUUAGUUCCUUUUUUUCUUUUUAAUAAAACUAUUAUGAAACUAUAUUACAAAACUAAGUACUAAAUAUUAAAAAAAAAAAAAAAAAAAAAAAAAAGAGAAGAAGAAAGAAAAAGAUGAAAAGAUGAUACUCAUUCUCGAGGAAACAUAAUUUCAUUUGUGAAUCAGUUAAAUUGUCAUCGAAUAAUGACUUUUUAAUUCAAAUCGAUCAGAGGAAAAGGAGAAAUAAAAAUUAUAUUUCCGUGUAAACUUAUGAAACAGAAUUACGUUUGUACUAUAUGAUUCACGUUUCAAUACACGGAACAGUUGUUAUCCAUAGAGAUAGAUAGAUAGAGAGAGAGAGAGAGAGAGAGAGAGAGAGAGAGAGAGAGAGAGAGAGAGAGAGAGAGAGAGAGAGAAAGAACAAGAGGUCACUUGAACCACAGUUUCUUUUGUCGUUUCUCUCUCUUGUUACGAUAAAAUGACGUGAACGAGCCUGAACCUACUCAACGACGAAAGAAGAAAUGAUACAAGUAGUAAUAAACUUCAAGCAAUUAUUAUAACUCGAGAUGAGCUGCUGCGAAAGAAAAUUUAUGGCGCAUGAUAUCCUGGUUUUAUAGUAUUACAGUACGAGAAUUUUAUGACCAAAGAAUUAAGGAAGAAGAUUGGCUAAUGAAAUCAAUACAAUGCAACGAAAUAGUAAUCAAGUAAAUUCAAGUAGAUUUUCAUAAAAUUAAGCAACUAGUAAUGACAAUACAUAAGACGACAUAGAAGAUAUCCAAAAAGAAGAAAAAAGACGACAUAACUUUCAGAACAAAUUUAUGCUAUUGAUGAAAUCAAAAAUAUGAAUUAUAAAGAAUCGGCAAAUAAUGUAAACGAAAUUUAAACAACCAAAUGUUUCGAUAUCAGUCAUACAUAAAAAAGUGUACAAGCUAAAUAAUAAUAUAAUAAAAUAUACACAUAUAUAUAUAUAUAUAUAUAUAUAUAUAUAUAUAUAUAUUAUAUAUUACAUCA